Molecule: transfer RNA, 73 nt
Filed under: Chloroflexi bacterium 54-19
Lineage: Bacteria; Bacillati; Chloroflexota; Chloroflexia; Candidatus Chloroheliales
Also listed under: 1 other name
Description: tRNA-Lys
Rfam family: tRNA
About the family: Transfer RNA (tRNA) molecules are approximately 80 nucleotides in length. Their secondary structure includes four short double-helical elements and three loops (D, anti-codon, and T loops). Further hydrogen bonds mediate the characteristic L-shaped molecular structure. tRNAs have two regions of fundamental functional importance: the anti-codon, which is responsible for specific mRNA codon recognition, and the 3' end, to which the tRNAs corresponding amino acid is attached (by aminoacyl-tRNA synthetases). tRNAs cope with the degeneracy of the genetic code in two manners: having more than one tRNA (with a specific anti-codon) for a particular amino acid; and 'wobble' base-pairing, i.e. permitting non-standard base-pairing at the 3rd anti-codon position.
Source: RNAcentral
GUGCGCCUGGCGCAAUUGGGAGCGCAAGUGACUCUUAAUCACUGGGUUACAGGUUCGAGCCCUGUGGCGCACA